This 253-nucleotide ribosomal RNA is filed under the name uncultured bacterium. Its description in RNAcentral is "partial 16S ribosomal RNA". It matches the Rfam family "Bacterial small subunit ribosomal RNA", at positions 524 to 776 of the family's 1533-position model. The record is from RNAcentral.
UACGUAGGGUGCAAGCGUUGUCCGGAAUUAUUGGGCGUAGAGAGCUUGUAGGCGGUUUGUCGCGUCUGCUGUGAAAUUUCGGGGCUCAACCCCGAACUUGCAGUGGGUACGGGCAGACUAGAGUGUGGUAGGGGAGACUGGAAUUCCUGGUGUAGCGGUGAAAUGCGCAGAUAUCAGGAGGAACACCGAUGGCGAAGGCAGGUCUCUGGGCCAUAACUGACGCUGAGAAGCGAAAGCAUGGGGAGCGAACAGG